GAUGAACGCUGGCGGCGUGCCUAAUACAUGCAAGUCGAGCGAACGGACGAGAAGCUUGCUUCUCUGAUGUUAGCGGCGGACGGGUGAGUAACACGUGGAUAACCUACCUAUAAGACUGGUAUAACUUCGGGAAACCGGAGCUAAUACCGGAUAAUAUUUUGAACCGCAUGGUUCAAAAGUGAAAGACGGUCUUGCUGUCACUUAUAGAUGGAUCCGCGCUGCAUUAGCUAGUUGGUAAGGUAACGGCUUACCAAGGCAACGAUGCAUAGCCGACCUGAGAGGGUGAUCGGCCACACUGGAACUGAGACACGGUCCAGACUCCUACGGGAGGCAGCAGUAGGGAAUCUUCCGCAAUGGGCGAAAGCCUGACGGAGCAACGCCGCGUGAGUGAUGAAGGUCUUCGGAUCGUAAAACUCUGUUAUUAGGGAAGAACAUAUGUGUAAGUAACUGUGCACAUCGUGACGGUACCUAAUCAGAAAGCCACGGCUAACUACGUG
This 497-nucleotide ribosomal RNA is filed under the name uncultured bacterium. RNAcentral's name for it is "partial 16S ribosomal RNA". It matches the Rfam family "Bacterial small subunit ribosomal RNA", at positions 28 to 507 of the family's 1533-position model. The record is from RNAcentral.